GCCUAAGGAUGGGUCUGCGGCCUAUCAGGUAGUAGUGGGUGUAGCGUACCUACUAGCCUACGACGGGUACGGGUUGUGAGAGCAAGAGCCCGGAGAUGGAUUCUGAGACACGAAUCCAGGCCCUACGGGGUGCAGCAGGCGCGAACACUUUACAAUGCUGGCAACAGCGAUAAGGGAACCUCGAGUGCCAGGUUACAAAUCUGGCUGUCGAGAUGCCUAAAAAGCAUUUCAUAGCAAGGGCCGGGCAAGACCGGUGCCAGCCGCCGCGGUAACACCGGCGGCUCGAGUGGUAACCGUUAUUAUUGGGUCUAAAGGGUCUGUAGCCGGCCGGAUAAGUCUCUUGAGAAAUCUGGCAGCUUAACUGUCAGGCUUUCAGGAGAUACUGUCUGGCUCGAGGCCGGGAGAGGUGAGAGGUACUUCAGGGGUAGGGGUGAAAUCUUGUAAUCCUUGAAGG
This 454-nucleotide ribosomal RNA is filed under the name uncultured prokaryote. RNAcentral describes it as "bacterial SSU rRNA". It matches the Rfam family "Archaeal small subunit ribosomal RNA", at positions 201 to 655 of the family's 1478-position model. The record is from RNAcentral.